This 614-nucleotide unclassified non-coding RNA is filed under the name Hevea brasiliensis (rubber tree). The record is from RNAcentral. Lineage: Eukaryota; Viridiplantae; Streptophyta; Magnoliopsida; Malpighiales; Euphorbiaceae.
UUUAAGAAGAAUAAUGAGAAGGGAUUGAUGCAAUGCAAUAUGGUAAGCUCUUGAUGUCAUCAGGGAUAGUGUUAAAUUGAUAGUGUGCACUGGGGACGAGAGAUCAGAGUGAUCAAGAGAGAUGAGAGAUAGAACGAGAAGGAGAGGAGAGGGAGUGAGCAAGGGAAGCUAGAGGGACCAUAGGGCAGGGGGCUAGGAAGAGAGGGAACGCCAGCAGAAGAUAGCAACUGUUCACCCACCUUCGACGCCCUUCAGACAGUGCGUCACCACAUCAUCAUUCCUGUCUUCCACGACAACCGCACACGCAGAGCCACCCUCAGCUUAGUUCAACUAUUCCUCAUGAGGAAUCGACCGCCAUUGUGAGGAAUCGACGGCGACUUGGGCCAAGAAGGUAUAAACUAAAGAUGGGAUCUAGUGAGGAGGUCAAGACGCGGUGGUGGUGACUGGAUUUCAAAACGAGUGAGAGAUUCAAGACGAGGUGAUGAAUUGGAAUCGAGAGUGAGUGAGAGGAUUUGAGGAGUAAUGGGAUUGACAUUGUCAAGUCGAGAGGGAGAGAUCAGAGAUGGACUUGAGAGGUGGUGAUCUGUCAGACUAAGGCGGGGAGGAACUGAGGC